RNAcentral lists this ribosomal RNA (493 nucleotides) under Bacillus cereus. Its description in RNAcentral is "bacterial SSU rRNA". It matches the Rfam family "Bacterial small subunit ribosomal RNA", at positions 54 to 526 of the family's 1533-position model. The record is from RNAcentral. Lineage: Bacteria; Bacillati; Bacillota; Bacilli; Caryophanales; Bacillaceae.
CAUGUCAAGUCCGAGCGAAAGGAUUACCAUCUUGCUCUUAUGAAGUUACCGGCGGAUGGGUGAGUAACACGUGGGUAACCUGCCCAUAAGACUGGGAUAACUCCCGGAAACCGGGGCUAAUACCGGAUAACAUUUUGAACCGCAUGGUUCGAAAUUGAAACGCUGCUUCGGCUGUCAGUUAUGGAUGGACCCGCGUCGCAGUAGCUAUUUGGUGACGUAACGGCUCACCAACGCAACCAACCGUAGCCGACCUGAGACGGUGAUCGGCCACACUGGGACUGAGACCCGGCCCAGACUCCUACGGGAGGCAACAUUAGGGAAUCUUCCGCAAUGGAAGAAAGUCUGACCGAGCAACGCCUCAUGAUUGAUGAAUGCUUUCGGGUCGUAUUACUCUAUUGUUAUGGAAGAACAAGUGCUAGUUGAAUAAGCUGGCACCUUGACAGUACCCAAACCAGAAAGCCACGGCUAACUACGUGCCAUACGCGGGUAAUAA